CGCGUAGGAAUCUACCUAGUAGUGGGGGACAACUCGGGGAAACUCGAGCUAAUACCGCAUACGCCCUACGGGGAAAGCGGGGACCUUCGGGCCUCGUGCUAUUAGAUGAGCCUGCGUUGGAUUAGCUAGUUGGUGGGGUAAAGGCCUACCAAGGCGACGAUCCAUAGCUGGUCUGAGAGGAUGAUCAGCCACACCGGGACUGAGACACGGCCCGGACUCCUACGGGAGGCAGCAGUGGGGAAUAUUGCGCAAUGGGCGAAAGCCUGACGCAGCCAUGCCGCGUGUGUGAAGAAGGCCUGG
Molecule: ribosomal RNA, 300 nt
Filed under: uncultured Oceanospirillales bacterium
Lineage: Bacteria; Pseudomonadati; Pseudomonadota; Gammaproteobacteria; Oceanospirillales
Description: bacterial SSU rRNA
Rfam family: Bacterial small subunit ribosomal RNA
Source: RNAcentral